CACUUAGACCUUUACAACUAUACUUAAAGGCAACUCCCCAGGGUAGGAAUACAGCAAGGAACUUUUUCUUGUAGUGUGUUUUGGUAUCUGGGUGGAG
This 97-nucleotide signal recognition particle RNA is filed under the name Campylobacterota bacterium. RNAcentral's name for it is "Epsilonproteobacteria bacterium signal recognition particle sRNA small type". It matches the Rfam family "Bacterial small signal recognition particle RNA". From Rfam's summary of the family: The signal recognition particle (SRP) is a universally conserved ribonucleoprotein involved in the co-translational targeting of proteins to membranes. Archaeal SRP consists of a 7S RNA and homologues of the eukaryotic SRP19 and SRP54 proteins. In most bacteria, the SRP consists of a 4.5S RNA and the Ffh protein (a homologue of the eukaryotic SRP54 protein). The record is from RNAcentral. Lineage: Bacteria; Pseudomonadati; Campylobacterota.